Molecule: ribosomal RNA, 235 nt
Filed under: uncultured bacterium
Lineage: Bacteria
Description: partial 16S ribosomal RNA
Rfam family: Bacterial small subunit ribosomal RNA
Source: RNAcentral
CGGACGGGUGAGUAACGCGUGGGUAACCUGCCCUGUACAGGGGGAUAACAGCUGGAAACGGCUGCUAACACCGCAUAAGCGCACGAGGAGACAUCUCCUUGUGUGAAAAACUCCGGUGGUACAGGAUGGGCCCGCGUCUGAUUAGCUGGUUGGCAGGGUAACGGCCUACCAAGGCAACGAUCAGUAGCCGGUCUGAGAGGAUGAACGGCCACAUUGGAACUGAGACACGGUCCAA